RNAcentral lists this ribosomal RNA (301 nucleotides) under uncultured bacterium. RNAcentral's name for it is "partial 16S ribosomal RNA". It matches the Rfam family "Bacterial small subunit ribosomal RNA", at positions 509 to 808 of the family's 1533-position model. The record is from RNAcentral.
CAGAGCCGCGGUAAUACGUAGGGUGCGAGCGUUAAUCGGAAUUACUGGGCGUAAAGCGUGCGCAGGCGGUUCGUUAAGACAGAUGUGAAAUCCCCGGGCUUAACCUGGGAACUGCAUUUGUGACUGACGGGCUAGAGUAUGGCAGAGGGGGGUAGAAUUCCACGUGUAGCAGUGAAAUGCGUAGAGAUGUGGAGGAAUACCGAUGGCGAAGGCAGCCCCCUGGGCCAAUACUGACGCUCAUGCACGAAAGCGUGGGGAGCAAACAGGAUUAGAUACCCCCGUAGUCCCUGUCUCUUAUACA